This 1346-nucleotide ribosomal RNA is filed under the name uncultured bacterium. Its description in RNAcentral is "partial 16S ribosomal RNA". It matches the Rfam family "Bacterial small subunit ribosomal RNA", at positions 28 to 1381 of the family's 1533-position model. The record is from RNAcentral.
GACGAACGCUGGCGGCGUGCUUAACACAUGCAAGUCGAACGGAAAGGCCCUGCUUUUGUGGGGUGCUCGAGUGGCGAACGGGUGAGUAACACGUGAGUAACCUGCCCUUGACUCUGGGAUAACUUCAGGAAACUGGGGCUAAUACCGGAUAGGAGCUCCUGCUGCAUGGUGGGGGUUGGAAAGUUUCGGCGGUUGGGGAUGGACUCGCGGCUUAUCAGCUUGUUGGUGGGGUAGUGGCUUACCAAGGCUUUGACGGGUAGCCGGCCUGAGAGGGUGACCGGCCACAUUGGGACUGAGAUACGGCCCAGACUCCUACGGGAGGCAGCAGUGGGGAAUAUUGCACAAUGGGCGGAAGCCUGAUGCAGCAACGCCGCGUGCGGGAUGACGGCCUUCGGGUUGUAAACCGCUUUCGCCUGUGACGAAGCGUGAGUGACGGUAAUGGGUAAAGAAGCACCGGCUAACUACGUGCCAGCAGCCGCGGUGAUACGUAGGGUGCGAGCGUUGUCCGGAUUUAUUGGGCGUAAAGGGCUCGUAGGUGGUUGAUCGCGUCGGAAGUGUAAUCUUGGGGCUUAACCCUGAGCGUGCUUUCGAUACGGGUUGACUUGAGGAAGGUAGGGGAGAAUGGAAUUCCUGGUGGAGCGGUGGAAUGCGCAGAUAUCAGGAGGAACACCAGUGGCGAAGGCGGUUCUCUGGGCCUUUCCUGACGCUGAGGAGCGAAAGCGUGGGGAGCGAACAGGCUUAGAUACCCUGGUAGUCCACGCUGUAAACGGUGGGUACUAGGUGUGGGGUCCAUUCCACGGGUUCCGUGCCGUAGCUAACGCUUUAAGUACCCCGCCUGGGGAGUACGGCCGCAAGGCUAAAACUCAAAGGAAUUGACGGGGCCCCGCACAAGCGGCGGAGCAUGCGGAUUAAUUCGAUGCAACGCGUAGAACCUUACCUGGGUUUGACAUGGAUCGGGAGUGCUCAGAGAUGGGUGUGCCUCUUUUGGGGUCGGUUCACAGGUGGUGCAUGGCUGUCGUCAGCUCGUGUCGUGAGAUGUUGGGUUAAGUCCCGCAACGAGCGCAACCCUUGUUCACUGUUGCCAGCACGUUAUGGUGGGGACUCAGUGGAGACCGCCGGGGUCAACUCGGAGGAAGAUGGGGGUGACGUCAAGUCAUCAUGCCCCUUAUGUCCAGGGCUUCACGCAUGCUACAAUGGCUGGUACAGAGAGUGGCGAGCCUGUGAGGGUGAGCGAAUCUCGGAAAGCCGGUCUCAGUUCGGAUUGGGGUCUGCAACUCGACCUCAUGAAGUCGGAGUCGCUAGUAAUCGCAGAUCAGCAACGCUGCGGUGAAUACGUUCCCGGGGCU